Molecule: ribosomal RNA, 258 nt
Filed under: uncultured bacterium
Lineage: Bacteria
Description: partial 16S ribosomal RNA
Rfam family: Bacterial small subunit ribosomal RNA
Source: RNAcentral
GAUCCUGGCUCAGGAUGAACGCUAGCUACAGGCUUAACACAUGCAAGUCGAGGGGCAGCAUGGACCCAGCUUUGCUGGGUUUGAUGGCGACCGGCGCACGGGUGAGUAGCGCGUAUCCAACCUGCCCUUUACUCCGGGAUAGUCUCCUGAAAGGGAGUUUAAUACCGGAUGUGUUUGUCUUUCCGCAUGGGGAGCGAACAAAUAAAGUAUUAAGUUAGGUAAAGAGUGGGGAUGCCGUCCUAUUAGCUUUGGUUGGGG